RNAcentral lists this small nucleolar RNA (210 nucleotides) under Rosa chinensis. RNAcentral describes it as "sRNA RchiOBHm_Chr5g0070811". It matches the Rfam family "Plant small nucleolar RNA U3". Rfam says of the family: Small nucleolar RNAs (snoRNAs) are involved in the processing and modification of rRNA in the nucleolus. There are two main classes of snoRNAs: the box C/D class, and the box H/ACA class. The record is from Rfam by way of RNAcentral. Lineage: Eukaryota; Viridiplantae; Streptophyta; Magnoliopsida; Rosales; Rosaceae.
ACGACCUUACUUGAACAGGAUCUGUUCUAUAGGAUCGUACCUCUGUCCUUGACUUCUAAGGAGACAGGAAUCUAAACCUGGUGGAUGAAUCAUAGCCAUGCGAUCAGAGCGUGAUACGGCUGGUGAUCUAUUGAUCACUGUGGCCGUAGAUGAUCGUUCUCAGUUGGGCUCCAGCCCUCCUGGGGUGGUCGCUUGGUUGUCUGACGGGUU